UUCAGCCGAAGUCUGAGGACCUUGUAGCUUUUGUCCGUUCAGCAUCUCAUUCUCCAAUUGCUCUAUGGACUAGAAGAGAGGAGACUGAUUACUUGCGUCCGAGGAAAUAAUGCUGCAACACCAGCAGUUACUGAGAAGAUUGGAAAGCUGGCAUGUGAACUACGUGUUUUGUCCGUGCUCACUCAAUCCUACAGUGGUAGAACUAACAUUAGACCAUGUGGCUUACAGAAGACUCAGUGAGCACAAUCAAGGCCUGAGCUGAGGAGGAAUUAUGGCUCGCUAUUGUAAAUAUGUAUUAAUAAGAAAAGUUAUUUUUACACAUAAACACUAAGACUUGAGAUCUAAAUUCACUUUCCAGGUUGUGCUGUAGCCUUCUUUAGUGAGAGCCUUCUUUAGUGAGAUUUUUACCCACUUCUAAUCUACAAGAUGGUAAUAACUUUCCCCACUUACACCCAGCAUCACCUAUCCAUUUUUCUUUCUUUCCUUGGACCAGAACUUUCUGAAAGCAGAGACUUCUUUUUGCUAUUUAUUUACAGGGCACUUAGGAGAGUAAAAAGGGGCUUCAGUCUCAGUGGAGCCCUAACAUUCUCUUUCACUCUGAAAAACUGAAGACAAACCGAAAAAGUCUGCAAUAUAGAAAUGUUUAGCAGAUGUACAGAAUGUGCACCAGGGUGGCUUUUUGGGGGUGGUGGUUUAUAGUCUGUGACUGUACCAAAUUUUUGUAAUCUUCUGUUGAAAGAUGCAGGCUCCAGCUCUAACUUCUGAAAUCC
Long non-coding RNA from Oxyura jamaicensis (ruddy duck), 770 nucleotides. RefSeq lists it as uncharacterized. The transcript has 3 exons. Lineage: Eukaryota; Metazoa; Chordata; Aves; Anseriformes; Anatidae. The record is from RefSeq and is a predicted model, not a curated record.